AUGUUUUUGGUGGCCGGAAUCUUCUUGUUCACCGUGAACCAAAACAUACAGGCUGGCAGACGACGCUUGCGGUGGAGGAGAUGGUGGCAGAGAGCAGUGGCACCAGAGCCAGGUGCUGAGAGACAGGCAGCCACCAAGCAGAGCAGCCCUCGGCGUGAACCUUUGCGCUCCUGCAGUAAGGCGGACCAGAGGCUGUCAGGGCUGCCUGGCUGCCAGCCUGGCACAGCCAAAGUAGCGCUGCUAAAGGACAGCUACACUCAAACGGACAUCACAGGCCUGUGUGUAGCUGACACUAAAUGUAUCAGAUGCCAGAGACACAGUGCAGUGGCUACCGUCAUCUCAAAACUGUGUCUCAGUCAGGCACGAUCCAGGAAGAUCUCCAUGCACAUAGCCAGAAAAUGCCUGGAGAUAAAGCUUCGAUUCUUCCCUGUGAGAGUGAGGAAGUCCAUAGAACUGCUGCAACGUUUACAGCAAACACAGGGUGCCCCAGACUGCACACUCAAGAAGAAGUACCCCCUCGAUCGUGACCGGAUCAGGCGUGCGGCCAGGGCACCAGGAUCCCGCCCGAUUCCCACCUACUUCCAUAGCCGGGAGGCUUUGUUCCUGUCCGAGGAGGAGCGUGAGAAACUGGAGCUGCACAUCCGCGCCAAAAAGCUGGAGUGUCUGUGGUUCCGCCUCCCUCGUUCUCGUACCCGGCAUCCAUCAGAGUCCUCGGAGACAGAGUCCACCUGCACAUAUGUGACUGCACCGUCUGAGGACUGGACCAAGGAAGAUUGUACUGAGGCAGGCCCCAAAAGACACAGGUGGUGGCCCUGGUGGAAGACGUGCCCGAGGGGACUCAAGAGGGUCUGGAGCACCCAUGCAGAGUGCAGCAGCCCCCCACCUGCCAGUUUAACAUCGUAGGGGAAGAUGUAACCAUGAACAAGUCAGCAAAGACCUUAUGAGACUGUUUGGUACACCUUAUCACUGUGAAGCCCUGGAAGACCAGAGCAUGAGACAAAGGGCAAGCAUUGUCUGUUUGCAUCCAAAUGUGGACAGCAGGAUCUUUUGAUAUGCACUGUUACUUUCAAUUUAUAAAGCUUUCAUCCUUUAUCACUGUUGUCUGGGAGAAGUUAGAACCAAUUAAGUGAUUACAAGAACUGUUAAAGGAACAGGAAUGUCUUGCUUGUAAGUGAAUGGCAUAUAAGAUGUAUGUUAAAAACAAUAAAGAGGACUAUUCUGAUGCUACA
This is a long non-coding RNA of Coturnix japonica (Japanese quail), 1229 nucleotides long. Ensembl lists it as uncharacterized. The record is from Ensembl. NCBI's taxonomy places the organism in Eukaryota, Metazoa, Chordata, Aves, Galliformes, Phasianidae.